UUCCUUCCUUCCUGUGACACACACAUUCUCACAAACACACAUGUUCUCUCUCGCACACACAUGUUCACACACACACAGAUCUCUCUCCCUAAGCCUGAGGGUAUCUGGGAGAGUCUCUCCCAUCCCUGGGCAUGGCAAAGGAGGCAUCUGCAGAUCUCACAGCCUCUCUUGUUUCUCUCCCACUUCCUUUCCUCUCCCUGACCUUCCUUUUGCACAGGACACCUGGAUAACUGACUGGAAUUUAAUGAUGACAAUUGAAUAAAUAAACUCCUGCCCAGACAGCAGCAGUGACAUCAGCCCAUCCCACAGCCGUGCCUCCAGAGUGCCGGGUUCCAAGGACUGCAUCCCAAUGCUGUGCCUGCUGUGGAGAGAGAGGAGAGUCCUGCAGGAUCAGUAAUGGAGGAGCUCACAGCCUUAGCAGCCCUGAGGACUUGGAGCCUUAAAAAACAAAGAAGAACCUGUGAAGUAUCCCCAGACAUGAUGUGAACACAGUCCUGACUGUCCCUGAGUCUCCUUCUGCACAUCCCACGUACCACUCAUGAGGUGGCUUAUCAGCUCUGGGCAAGCAGAGGCUGCUCUAAACCCCCAAUUCCCGUCCCAAAUCCCCUUCAUCCUGGGAAAUAUCCUCACCCCAAGGACGAAGCAGUCCCAGAGGAGCGGGUGGGAUGUGUGGCUCAGGUUGAGGCACAGCUCCAUGAGUUAUGUCCCCCCAUGAUGUCACAGCCCAGAGAUGUGCCAGGAGGCUGGUGCAUCAUCUCCCCGAUAUAGCAACGUGGCUGUUCACAAGAGCAGAACAUCUUGAAUCCUGAAUUUCCAAUGCACUCCAGUCCUUUGGAAGCCCAGUGAAAUGUCAUCUGCUCGCUGGCAGUGGUGAUGGGAAGCGAGCCCAGCCCUGUGCCAGCUGGUGGAUCCAUCCCACGGCCGGUGCCGGGAGGACGCGGCGGCAGCGGGAGGUGUGCGGGGAAGGGGCGGCGUGUGCUGACGUGUUGGCUCGGUGGAGAAGGAAAAGCAAUCCCAACAAUUUCCAAAGCACCAGAUCCAGCUGGAAGACAACUGCAACACCCCACGGAGGAGUGCCCCCCUUCCCUGGCCUCCAUCCUGGCUGUGGGAUCCCUCUGCAGAGAGGCAGUGGGGGAUGAGGAGCUCCCACCAUCCCUGGGAGCCAUGGGGAAUGUGCAGAGAGCAGAGAGCUCCCCAAACUUUCUCUGGGGUAUGUUACCUCCUCCUCUCUGCUGAGCUCCUGUGUCUUGGUGUGCACUGAUGGUAGGGAAGGAGAAGGUCCCCUCCUGCCCUAAACAGCAGGACAAACCCAGCCCUUGGGGGUGAUAUUGCCCCCCCCCACAACCGGAGACCAGUUCCCCCAUAAAUCUCCUGGAGGCUUUGCUACUUCCAGAGCCUUGAAA
This is a long non-coding RNA of Pseudopipra pipra, 1403 nucleotides long. RefSeq lists it as uncharacterized. Lineage: Eukaryota; Metazoa; Chordata; Aves; Passeriformes; Pipridae. The transcript has 2 exons. The record is from RefSeq and is a predicted model, not a curated record.